Long non-coding RNA from Hylaeus anthracinus, 1142 nucleotides. RefSeq lists it as uncharacterized. The record is from RefSeq and is a predicted model, not a curated record. Lineage: Eukaryota; Metazoa; Arthropoda; Insecta; Hymenoptera; Colletidae. The transcript is spliced from 2 exons.
AGUUAUCAGCUGAUGACAACUUGAUUAACAGACAACCUUUUUAUCUUUUUCGAUCCUUUGUAACUAUCGUUUAUUGUUCCAUUGGCAGUCAUUGUUUAACACCGGGCACCUGCAGUACCUAGAAUUUAAGGUUAAGAAGAAAAAAAAAAGAAAGAAAUUACCUAUACGAAGGAAAUUGUUGCUUCGAAUAACACACGACAACGCUUAGAAUUGCCUGUAUAGUAUUUGAAAUUGGUUAAAGUGUAAUAUCAAUUUAAAGAGAUGCUACUCGUUUGCUAUUAAUUUAGAGACAAAGAAAUUUUAGUAGAUGCACUAACACUUUGUUGCACACCAUUAGGUAAACUAUACAUAAUGUAUACUUGAUAUAGACACAAGAUUUCUUUACAAAAUAUGUCAUGCGUGUUCACAUGUACCACGAUUAAAUAAUUACUACGUUACAAUUAUUUGCAGACUAUCCGUAACGUUCUUAACCGACAAUAACACCUUGUCCUUGUGAAAAUGACACAAUGACUUCCUGGAGCGACGCACGACGCAUACAAAUCACGCUGGACUAUCAUCCUAAUUUCUUUAUUCCUGUGCAAAGGCUACCCGGCACGUGCGCGUUGUAACGUUAAAAGUAAAAGGAGAAUACGGAAGCGGAAUAAUAGAACGCUCAUGAAUUUUGCGACGUUUUAUUAAACAGGCUUGCUGAUUAAAGCUGUUUCUUACAAAAAAAAAAAAAAAAAAAAAACAAUUUAUACAAGUCUCCUUUAGCGAGGCUGCUUCCCUACACGCGUUACAAUUGGUCGUUAAUCUGCAGUCGAGUUUCGUGCGUCGAUAUUAUAUCUAUAUUACUGGCGACGAAUAACCUGGGAUGAGUUCAACUGCCUUGUGAGGCCACGGAACGGAGGAUUAAAUUAGCUCAAAGGAAGAGAGCUAAAAGAGGAAAAGAAAGAAUUGCUAAAAGAUUCGAGGUUUCGAGAAUCCAAGGAUCCCAUAUUUUCUAGGAAUAACAAACGAAAGUAUUAGCAAUUCGACGAUGGAUGGAAGUCGAAGCCCCCUCAGCCCCCUUCUUUAAUAUCCGCCAUCGAGGGCAACGGUGGCAGUCAAACUCAAACUUUGAUGCCGCGCUUCUUCGCUUCCUCCUCGAAUUUCAUUCUGUA